UCCCUGGUAGUCCAGUGGCUCAGACUCUGCUCUUCCAAUGCAGGGAGCCUAGGUUUGAUCCCUGGUCGGGGAA
This 73-nucleotide transfer RNA is filed under the name Bos taurus (domestic cattle). It matches the Rfam family "tRNA". Rfam says of the family: Transfer RNA (tRNA) molecules are approximately 80 nucleotides in length. Their secondary structure includes four short double-helical elements and three loops (D, anti-codon, and T loops). RNAcentral also lists the same sequence under 5 other names. The record is from Rfam by way of RNAcentral. Lineage: Eukaryota; Metazoa; Chordata; Mammalia; Artiodactyla; Bovidae.